ACCAAUCACAGCGGGCAGGGCGGGAUAUUCUAAUGAGCAGGGAACACCUCAAUGUUCAGCAAUGCGAGGGGCGUGAGGGGAAGACUCAAAAUUGAGAUACCCAAAUAUUGUCCGACCGCAGUAACAGAGACGCGUGUUAGGGAAAACGCUCAAACUAAAUGGGAAUUGUCUCUUUUGAACGUGAUAAACGUCCACAGCUAUAACAGAAUCAGGCUGACGCAGAUCAUAUUGAAAGAUUGAUUGCUUUUGUUCUGCUGGGAAGGGUGAGGAGCAUCCUGCUGGACCUCGGGGUUCCUCUGAAGAUGGAAGAAGAGCGCAGUCGCAAUAAAGAGCGUCUGGAGGCCAGUUUGACGUGGCUGUGUGAGCUGGAGAUCCUGAAGCAGCGGCAGGAGAGCCUGGUCCUCGGUGCCCUGUCCCUCGGGGACUCCGUGCCGGGAUGCCCCGCUUGGGGUGAUGUGGGUCCGGCCCGCAGCAGCAGAGAGCAGGAGCACAUCACUUUAAGACGACAGCUGAACAAACUCCAGGGCGCCCCCAGCCUGCUAAUGCUGGCACUGCAACAGCAGCUCAGUGAGUUGAGGUUGGAUCCAGGACUCACAUGUGAGCAGAAUACAGAGGAGGAUUUGGACAGUCCCAGCGCUUCAAGCUCAGGGUUUUAUGAGCAAAUUGAAAGUCUGUCUCCUCCACUGCGUUCCUGUUCCUCCCCAAACCUCAGUGUGUCCUGUCACAGGCCCAGAUCUAUGGAUGCCUACAUGCUGGACUGGGAGGGUUAUAUGGAGCCCACAGUACAUGUCCCCAUGCCCCGCUCAUUUUCUGCCCCGUACCCCCCACUGGAGGGUAUUGCGGAGGGAAUAGAGGAGGAAGAAGAAGAUGAAGAAAGUCCUCAGUGGGUUACAGAUCAGAUAGCUGAUGGAAGCCUGACUCCAGAGAUGAGCCUCACUUCUGAUGCUGAGGCAGAUCCUGCUGUGAAGAUAGAAGAUGGCCCAACGGAAGAAGACAUCCAGCAGGCAAUGCGUGUGGAGACGUACAUCCUGGGACUCUUGCAGCGAAGGCAUCUCAGAUCUACAGCAGAACUCAGAUCUGAUCCCGAUCAGUGGCAUGACUUACACACAUACCCACCAAGUUACCCACAGUUUGAGUGGCAGGAAUGGGUAACUCUCUCUGAGGUAGAGAAUGACCGUGAAUCCCAAGAUGGAUAUUACAUCAACCUUCCCAGUGCCCAAGCUGGACCAACUUCCCUAAGCAGUGAAGAGCCAGAAUCCUCCUUGGAAAUUGAUCAGUAUGGAGUCGAAGAAGUCCACACCAGCAGCAACGACUCUCCUAGGCAUCCACCGGUUUACAUCGAACGCCGUCCCACAAUGACAGACACCAUGAAACCCCAUAUUCACACCUGCUGCAAUCACACCUGCGUACCUACGUUGUCAGCUGCUGAGUCCCAUGAGCAACACCAGCCCACUCCAUCCCAAAAGUGGGCUCUUCUUUGGUCCCUAGCCAGAAGGAGUCCAGAGGAAAGGUGGACAACUCAAGGAGAUAGCCAAACGAAGUCGACCACCCGCUCUCGGUCAGAAGACAAUUGCGUAUCUCAAGGGUGGACCGCCCAACCAGAGCACAAAUAUUAUACUGUGGGACGGGACAUGGGCAAGCAUCAUAGCGACGAACUGUAUCCAUCUAAUCAGCGGCUGUGGUGCUCCUCGGCAGACCUCAGUCAAGAAGAAGAUGACGGGAUAUUCAGAGAAGACGUUAAUGAUUUCAAACUAAAUCAGUUACCUGCCAAACGCACCGUUCAAUUUGUGGAGCAGGACCUGAGGGUGCAAGAGGCCGCUACUGCACCCACCGAUGGGUCCAACUCCAGUCUGAGUGAGACUUUCUCUCCAGGAAACAGUUCGGUGUCCAGUGACUCAGAUGAGAGCGGAGGGCUGGUCUGGCCUCAGCAACUGCCCCCUCGCUUGACACCGUCCCCUUCUUCUUCUCAGAAUCCCUCCAAUGCCGUGGUCAAGAUUAAAGCCUCACAUGCGCUCAAAAAGAAGAUUAUGCGAUUUCGUUCAGGCUCCCUCAAACUCAUGACCACGGUCUGAGUCUGGCCAUGAACAUCUCUGCCCAUUUAUCCUUUAAAAUUCAUUUGAGAGCUUUAUGUAAUACUCUUACAUUAUAUGUGGUGUACUGAAUACUGAUUUCGGGUCCAAGCCUGUACUCCAUUUCAAAUGAGAAUACUGUCCCAACAGUUAUUUAUGAGUACUCAUUUAUAGCACAUAACUCACAGUGUACAGUCUCUGGCCUCACAAAGUUAUGGAUAACAAUAUUUUAUUUAUUUAGAAAAAAUGUGUGAGGUUAGGAUCAUGUUUUUUUUUAGUAGUUCUACAGCAAACUGUGGGUGUAUAUCAGCACUGUUUGUUGCUUGCUUUUGGGAUCUGAUAGAGCAUUUAGACAGGAAACUGUGACGUGAUGUCAGACUUAAACCAGAUAUAUACACUUGUUUUUAAUUUCAUUUUAAGAAAAAAAAAUUCUUUUUUUUUGCAGCAUCUUGAUUUCCUUAUUUUUACCUCUGGGAUUAUAGUAUCUUUCUUCUUGUUAAUAAAAUAUUUGAUGAGAUGCAAGGACAAGAUACAAAUCAAACCCACUAAGCACACCAAACCCAUUACAAUAUUAUAUGAUUACAUGAAUUAGUUUGUACAAAAAAAUGAAGAUUUUGGCAUCAUUUACUUACCCUCGUGUCAUUUCAAACCUAUAUGACUUUAUUUUGUGGAGCACAAAAGGAUCACAUAGUAUUUAGUCCAUACAACAAAGUCAAUGGCCACCAAAACUGUUUGAUCACCAACAUUAUUUAAAAUAUUUGUUCUGCAUGUGAAUGACAUGAAGGUGAGUAAAUGACAGAAUUUAUAGUUUUGGGUGAACUAUCCCUUUAAGUAUGACUGUGUAUGUUUAUAAAUCCCUUUCUUCAGCUUUAAGUUCUAAGGCAUGCUCAUAAAUCUUAUAUUUUUAACAAUACUGCUAUAUAUUGUAGCUUUCCCUGCUAAAUAAAGCCAUUUUAAGAAGAGGGAGGUAAACAAGAUCAGGAAAGGACCUCGAGCCAGGGCUUGAACUGUGAAGAGUGUGGCUCGCAAUGACGUUUUAACACUAUGUUCAUAAUGAUAACAUCAUGCAGUCCGAAAUGUCUGGGACUUUCCACAAGCAAACAGGAAUUACUAGGAACUCAGAGCAAUCUGCAGCAUGAAGAGAAAUUGAUUCUCAUUAGCUUAGCAUUUUAAAAAGGCCAUUUUCAAGACUUACACACAUGACAGGAUGUUCCUGGAGUGCUAAUGGAGGCAUCUUUAUCAGUACUACGUACCACUUUGCCUGCCAUGUCCCAGGUGUUGUUUCUAGUUUGCACAUACCUUAUCCAUUCAUAAGAAUGAAGUCAGCUUGAUGAAUAUUUUGUAGCAUGUUUGUUAAAAUGCAUUUGUAGUGUACUGAAAUUUUUCAACAUUUAUAGUAAUUGGUUAGUAUUUAUACUGUAUGAAUUUGAUGUCACAUAGCUUCUUUACUGGCGCCACCUAGUGCAUUGGAGGACUUGGGAAAUGUCAUUUUCUUGCUGCUACACAGACAAACUCCUUUACCUGUGCUGUACAGUGGAAAUAGAUUCCAGUGUGGAGUGUGUUAAAAUAUGCCAUUCCUGAAAAUAAUUAUUCACCUUUUCUGAUUUCAUGCUCACAGUGUAUUUUAAAGAUUUUCAUGUGGUCUUUGAAAAUGUUCCUGCACAUUGCAUGUUGUAAAUAAACAUAUUCA
This is an RNA transcript of Carassius gibelio (silver crucian carp), 3759 nucleotides long. It is a transcript of the gene named dapper homolog 3, with no coding region annotated. Lineage: Eukaryota; Metazoa; Chordata; Actinopteri; Cypriniformes; Cyprinidae. The transcript is spliced from 5 exons. The record is from RefSeq and is a predicted model, not a curated record.